GCCUGGCUGGCUCAGUCAGUAGAGCAUAUGACUCUUGAUCAUGGGGUUGCAAGUUCAAGCUCUAUGUUGGGUG
This 73-nucleotide transfer RNA is filed under the name Ursus americanus (American black bear). It matches the Rfam family "tRNA". Rfam says of the family: Transfer RNA (tRNA) molecules are approximately 80 nucleotides in length. The record is from Rfam by way of RNAcentral. Lineage: Eukaryota; Metazoa; Chordata; Mammalia; Carnivora; Ursidae. RNAcentral also lists the same sequence under 2 other names.